AAAGCUCAACCUUUUUCAUAAAAUUAGUGUAAUGUGUUACAUGCACGAUUAAAUAUCAUCCUGGCUUGAAGAUAUUGAAUCUCAAGAAUUUAUUGAUGAAAUUCGUAUAAUGUUUUACAUACAUAAUUAUACGACAUUCUGGUUUGAAUAAUUUUGAAGCCUGAGGAUUUCUCGACGAAUUUAUUGUGAUGGCUACAAAAGCUGCUCUACUGCUGCCACUGCUGUUGCUGCUGCUCGAGUUCUCUUUUGCUGAGCCCUCACGGCGACGCUCUCUUAAACCUUGCCCUCAAGGCUUCAAGGCGGUGAUGGUAGAUGGCAAGCAGGACUGCCAGUGCGCGGACUACCACGUCUACUGGCCCG
Molecule: long non-coding RNA, 360 nt
Organism: Hyalella azteca
Lineage: Eukaryota; Metazoa; Arthropoda; Malacostraca; Amphipoda; Hyalellidae
Exons: 3
Source: RefSeq, a predicted model, not a curated record